AUUAAGUAAGACUCAUCACAACUGACAAACUUGUUUGCAGUUAAAAAAGAGAAAAAAAACUAUGGAUGGAUCUUGCAAAAACUAUUAAGAUGACUGACUUGAGAGUUUUAAGCACUGUCCAUUUGGAUGUUGCUGCUGGUUGAGUUCCGUGGAUUAGUGCCAAAGGGGCUAGCGGAGAAACCGUUUUGAGUUUGGCCAGCACCGAAUGUAAACUCGUGGGAAGGUACGUCCAUGGUCGGGCGGGAAAAGAUCGAUGUUGCACCAAUGCUGUUGAAUGGAGUUGUAGGAACUGGGUCGCCAGUCUUUGGGAAGCCAAAGCU
Molecule: unclassified non-coding RNA, 320 nt
Filed under: Hevea brasiliensis (rubber tree)
Lineage: Eukaryota; Viridiplantae; Streptophyta; Magnoliopsida; Malpighiales; Euphorbiaceae
Source: RNAcentral